Molecule: ribosomal RNA, 301 nt
Filed under: uncultured bacterium
Lineage: Bacteria
Description: partial 16S ribosomal RNA
Rfam family: Bacterial small subunit ribosomal RNA
Source: RNAcentral
CAGCAGCCACGGGAAUACAGAGGCCUCAAGCGUUGUUCGGAUUCAUUGGGCGUAAAGGGUGCGUAGGCGGUUCCGUAAGUCGGAUGUGAAAUCUUGGGGCUCAACCUCAAAACUGCAUUCGAUACUGCGGGGCUAGAGGACUGGAGAGGAGAGUGGAAUUCACGGUGUAGCAGUGAAAUGCGUAGAUAUCGUGAGGAAGACCAGCGGCGAAGGCGGCUCUCUGGACAGUUCCUGACGCUGAUGCACGAAGGCCAGGGGAGCAAACGGGAUUAGAUACCCGAGUAGUCCCUGUCUCUUAUAC